Molecule: non-coding RNA, 46 nt
Organism: Thalassiosira oceanica
Lineage: Eukaryota; Bacillariophyta; Thalassiosirophyceae; Thalassiosirales; Thalassiosiraceae
Source: Rfam
CAUCAGGAUUUUCUAAAAUCCACCCCGCAUUCGAAGACUAUUGAUA